GAUGAACGCUGGCGGCGUGCCUAAUACAUGCAAGUCGAGCGAACGGACGAGAAGCUUGCUUCUCUGAUGUUAGCGGCGGACGGGUGAGUAACACGUGGAUAACCUACCUAUAAGACUGGGAUAACUUCGGGAAACCGUAGCUAAUACCGGAUAAUAUUUUGAACCGCAUGGUUCAAAAGUGAAAGACGGUCUUGCUGUCACUUAUAGAUGGAUCCGCGCUGCAUUAGCUAGUUGGUAAGGUAACGGCUUACCAAGGCAACGAUGCAUAGCCGACCUGAGAGGGGGGUCGGCCACACUGGAACUGAGACACGGUCCAGACUCCUACGGGAGGCAGCAGUAGGGAAUCUUCCGCAAUGGGCGAAAGCCUGACGGAGCAACGCCGCGUGAGUGAUGAAGGUCUUCGGAGCGUAAAACUCUGUUAUUAGGGAAGAACAUAUGUGUAAGGAACUGUGCACAUCUUGACGGUACCUAAUCAGAAAGCCACGGCUAACUACGUG
This 497-nucleotide ribosomal RNA is filed under the name uncultured bacterium. Its description in RNAcentral is "partial 16S ribosomal RNA". It matches the Rfam family "Bacterial small subunit ribosomal RNA", at positions 28 to 507 of the family's 1533-position model. The record is from RNAcentral.